RNAcentral lists this small nuclear RNA (20 nucleotides) under Arabidopsis thaliana (thale cress). RNAcentral describes it as "snRNA_08458". The record is from RNAcentral. Lineage: Eukaryota; Viridiplantae; Streptophyta; Magnoliopsida; Brassicales; Brassicaceae.
UUAACCCAUAUUGAAACGGU